AUGCCUUGUAAUCUACAGGCCCGUGGAUCAAGCAAUGGGAAGGACACACUGAGCAGCUGCAGAGUUGAAGCUAGACUCAAGUUCAGGAAGCUGUGCAAUGCGCAGGAAAUACAAAGUACAAAAGUAAGUUCAAUGGGAAAACAGGAACGGAGAGGAAAUAAGCCUAUGAUUUGUAAUUUAAGCAAAUACAAGUGGACCAUGGCUCCUACAACAAAAAAUCAUGUCGCUUCUAUUUACAGUGCCUGUAUGGAAAUUGCCUCUGAAAAAGCCAGUCCCGGAAACAGAGGAGCAGCCAUGAUACAGAACAAAAAGCCCUUAAGGCAGAAAAACCCCAAAGUACUGCCCUUUGAGGCUAGCUGUUUCUCAAGACCCCACAGACCUGCGUGAAGGAGGUGCUGUGAUGAUGAUGUCACUGCUGAAGGAGGACAGACAGAAGGGGAAGACUUAACUCUCUAAUCUCCCCCUCACAUGUGGCUUUCACCAUGUUUAAUUUUUCAGUCUAUUUUUUUUGUGG
RNAcentral lists this long non-coding RNA (514 nucleotides) under Parus major (Great Tit). RNAcentral's name for it is "lncRNA (ENSPMJG00000000834.1)". The record is from RNAcentral. Lineage: Eukaryota; Metazoa; Chordata; Aves; Passeriformes; Paridae.